GACAAGAUCAUCAUUUGUUUAAAGGAGACCAUUGAAAAACAGGAAAAAAUCAUCAAUGACUUAAGAGAGCAAAUGUGUUCAAGUACGUUUAUUCCCUACGAAAGCGAAGGUUCGUUUGAAGAUUUUACUGAAAUGGAAUUCAAUUCUCCAC
Molecule: long non-coding RNA, 151 nt
Organism: Xenia sp. Carnegie-2017
Lineage: Eukaryota; Metazoa; Cnidaria; Anthozoa; Malacalcyonacea; Xeniidae
Exons: 3
Source: RefSeq, a predicted model, not a curated record